GCCAAGCCCAAUGGCUGGUGCCUGUGAUCCCAGCUCCUGGGGAGGCUGAGGCCAGUGGAUCACUUGAGCUCAGGAAUUCUAGGCUGCAGUGGGCUGUGCCAAUCGAUCGGGUGUCUGCACUAAGUUCAGCAUCAACAUGGUGAUGCCUGGGGAGCUUGGGGUCCCCCAGUUACCUAAGGAGAGGUGAACGAGGUCAGAAAUGGAGCAGGUCAUAACCCCUGUGCUGAUCAGUAGUGGGAGUGUGCCUGUGACUAGCUCCUGCAGUGUAACCUGGGUAAGACACGGUUUCCUUU
This 293-nucleotide signal recognition particle RNA is filed under the name Chelonoidis abingdonii (Abingdon island giant tortoise). RNAcentral describes it as "Metazoan signal recognition particle RNA (ENSCABG00000001882.1)". It matches the Rfam family "Metazoan signal recognition particle RNA". From Rfam's summary of the family: The signal recognition particle (SRP) is a universally conserved ribonucleoprotein. It is involved in the co-translational targeting of proteins to membranes. Lineage: Eukaryota; Metazoa; Chordata; Testudines; Testudinidae. The record is from RNAcentral.